AUUGAACGCUAGCGGGAUACUUUACACAUGCAAGUCGAACGGCAGCGCGGACUUCGGUCUGGCGGCGAGUGGCGAACGGGUGAGUAAUGUAUCGGAACGUGCCCAGUAGCGGGGGAUAACUACGCGAAAGCGUAGCUAAUACCGCAUACGCCCUACGGGGAAAAGCAGGGGAUCGUAAGACCUUGCACUAUUGGAGCGGCCGAUAUCGGAUUAGCUAGUUGGUGAGGUAACGGCUCACCAAGGCGACGAUCCGUAGCUGGUUUGAGAGGACGACCAGCCACACUGGGACUGAGACACGGCCCAGACUCCUACGGGAGGCAGCAGUGGGGAAUUUUGGACAAUGGGGGCAACCCUGAUCCAGCCAUCCCGCGUGUGCGAUGAAGGCCUUCGGGUUGUAAAGCACUUUUGGCAGGAAAGAAACGUCGCGGGCUAAUACCCCGUGGAACUGACGGUACCUGCAGAAUAAGCACCGGCUAACUACGUG
This 484-nucleotide ribosomal RNA is filed under the name uncultured bacterium. Its description in RNAcentral is "partial 16S ribosomal RNA". It matches the Rfam family "Bacterial small subunit ribosomal RNA", at positions 30 to 507 of the family's 1533-position model. The record is from RNAcentral.